AUUAAUCCUACCUUGUUUAAUUUCACUGCUCAAGGAAUUAAUUUGUCAUUUAUUGGUUACUAGGUUUUUAAAGAGAAGGGAAAACACUUUGAAAAAAUGGAAGUUUCAUCUCUGGCCAGCAUUACAGCGUCUGGCAUAAUUUUAGAUGCCAACAAGUAAUGACAAAGAAGCAGCUGUUAAAAUGAUCCUGCUUAAUAGCCAUAAAGAAAUGAAGACUUCCACAGAGAGCUUUCAGGUUCCCAUCUCAAUGGAGCAUGGACAGUUGUAGGAAGUAGAAGCCAAUUUGAUUCCAACACAGCACUUUAUUACAGCUAAGAAGGACAUAUUAUCCAAAGCCGUCUUCCGAUGUGCCAGAAGCAACAAUCAGGAAGAUUUCUACGGGGCAAAUAAACAAUGUGAAACUAAAUCAAGAAAGUUUUGGAAACACAUCUUGAAUUAGCCCAAGUGUAUCCGUGCAUUUGUGUAUUUGUUGUUUAUGCACAACAAAGUCCUAUAAAAUCAAAUUGGUUUACUUCACCUUGAUUUACGUUAGUAAAAAAUUUAAAUAUCAGCAAAUUCAUAUUUAUGUUUGCCUUCACAAAGGAGUUAUAAACUUAACGUUUUGUAUAUUUAAUUUAUUAAUUAGGGACUGGUAGAUCAUCAAAGAGAUAAUUUUACGAUCAAGAGUCAUAGAGUAACACAUGUACAAUUUAAUUUUUGGCAAGGCUCAGAAAAAACAAUUUGAUAUGUUAAUGGAUCCUAAUGGGCAAUAGCUAUUAAUUAAAUAAAUAGCCCAUUAGACUGAGAAGUGAAGUGUCAGCACAAGGACAAUCUACUAAGAUUGCUGAAGAAUAGCAAUUAACUUACAGUAUUUAGUGGUGGCACAGAUAUUUAUAUUUGGUUUUGUAGAUAUUUGUGUCAGCUAUAUCAAAUUAAUUAAACCAGCAACUAUUUAAUAAAUCUCUACAAUGUGUGCAAUGCUAUGCUAGGCAUUUGGAACAAAGCAAAAAGUAGACAACAUGAUCUAGAUUCUUGGGGAAAAUAUAGUACAGUAGGGAGAGGCAAGAUGUAAGUAAAUUUAAAAUACAAUGGUUGUACAUGUUGACAUACUAAAAAUGUUUUAACGUAUUACACCAUUUUAACGUAUCUUUACCAUUUUUAUCCCUGUCCAUCAUGACUUACUAAAAAUUGUUGAGGAAAAAUAAUGCUGGAGGAGGGUCUGGGGAUAACCAAGAAGGUAUAAGUCCUGGCCUCUCCACAGGAAGCCAGUGAUUUAAUUUGGAAGAUUGAUUGCUAAAUGAAAUCUUCGCCAACACAGGAAGUCCCAUGAAUAGGAAAGGGAGAGAGAGCUGAGGACCAGGAUAUCCUGGCCAGCGUGUGGAGGAGAACUGGAUCUUGAGGUACAGGUAAAAUGUGACUAAACAGAGAGGGGAGGUGGUGGCUCACGUGGGGACGAUGGCCAGAGCCAGCUUCAUUGUGGGGCAUUAGGGGUGAGGCUGGAGAAGAGAUUUAUGUAAUGAAGCCACGUUGUGUGCAUGCUGGUGAUUGAGGAAUUUGGACUAAGCUCUCCUGAGGAGAGUGACAGAAUCAAAGUGGUUGUAGGAAGAUACUGAUCAGAUUGAAGGGUGCUGGGAGACCUGUGGUAGGGAGUAGGAGCUAAAAGGCAACAAGAUUGGCUGGAGGCCUUUGUGAGGGGUAAGAGAUGAACAUGAUUUCCUAAACCAGAUCACAGCCUUAUUAAGGGAAAGGGAAAUGCCCUUCUUUUCCUUUGUUUGCUUGUUUUUCCUGUAUAUUCAGUCCAGGAUGUAUACUUCAGUAGAAUAACCCCUUGUAGAGCCACUGACUUAUGAGACUAUCUAAAGACAGGUGCUGACCUUUGCCACUGAUAACUGUAUUUGGCCUCCUGGAAUAAGAGCGCCUCAUGAAUAAAACAAGUUAGAGAAACCUAAGGAGAUUCAAGCAGAGGUCACUCUAUAGUGAGGUGAUAAAUUUUGUGACUGAUAUCGAGGCCUAGCCUAGUUGCGAGCAAUCAUUACUGAACUACCUGGUGAUAACGACAGGAGGCGAAGAAAAUGUGCAUUCUAAGUACAGUGCAAAUGCAGAUCGCCAGCUUCCUGGAGAUCUGAUCAAAUAAAACUUAAGUUUUAAUUAAACUGUGGCCAAAUUAAUUAAAAGUUACUAUAUUGUGUGAUAGAUAAUUAUCAACUAGAAUGUUAGUUAUUUUGCUGCAGCAUCCUGAUUUCUUUAUCUUCCUAUUCGGAAAAUGUAAAAAUCCUUUUAGCCUUUUAGUUGAAUCACAAGCAAAAAAAAAAAAAAAAUUUUAAGCUAGCAGGAUGUAUUAAACAUUAAUUUAAGGACAAUCAUGCAAACCUAAAUUUUUCUUUUUUUUCUAGCUACAUUUUAUGUUCUUGAGAUAAUCUUUACAGUGGCAUAUCUAUUUUUUUAAAUAAGCUUUUAAUAAAUUUGGUAAUAAUAGCAACUAAUAAUGUUAACAAUAAUAAUGAUAACUGUCAUUUCUCUCUCCUUAGGAUCAUUUUGUGCCGAGCAUUCAUAACUGAGUCAUAGCUGUCUAUAUUAAAGGAUUGUUCCUAGAUUUUAUUUAUCUUGUUUAGCCUUUUAAUUCAAUUGGUUUCUUGGCUGAUUUGUCUCCCAGUGUGAUCAAUCAAUGGGAACUAGGGACCCAAUUCACAUUUUCACUUAAGUCGAUUGAAAUGUUGAGUGUGGUUGUGAUUGUUUAGGAGAUAAAAUGGGAUCACUGACUUAAAGAUCAUUUCUUCCUGGUUUUGUGCCUUAACUUUAUUUUCCCCAGCAGACGUUCAGAUAACUGAUUCUCUGUUAUGGAAGCCUACAGGGAGUGGAAAGGUAGGUAGAGAUUUCUCUUCAGUGACAAUUUCCAUUAAUUUUGUUAUUUCUCAUCAACAAUUGAUGUACCCAGAGGCGAUCAAAGUAUAUGUAAAUGACCGGCAAUUGGUUUCACUUCAAAUCUAAUACUUUGCAAAAAGCACUUUGUGGCCAGUAUCUAAGAGAAGUUUAAUAGAAGUCAAAGGCUGGAAGAAAAUGUGGGGGCUAUGUCAUUUCCUCCCAAGCUCCUCUCCUCAUCUAGCAUUAGACAGGCACUACCACUUCUCUUCUCAAGGUGCCCAGACAGGACGAUUCUGCAAUAGCCUUUAGGAAAUUCAUUUCAACGUUAAUAUCCCUCAUGGCCAAGAGAGAAGUAAUUUGGCUCAUAUAUAAUCUGGUUCCUCCUCGUCUGCAUUGAAAGCCCUUAAUGACCUCAUGUCUUCCCUCAGCAGGACUGAGGGUAUUCUGUCAAAACGUCAUGAUGGAUUAUGUGCUUGGUGACCUGUGACUUUUUGCAAGGCAAGUAGAGUAGAAUGAAAAGAUGGCGAAGAGGGAGGGGAAUACCCAUAUUUGCCAGCCUGCCAUCCGGCAGCAGAAGGAAGGUUUCCAGAGGAAAAGCUGAAUGAGAUCCUUCUGCUGCUUCCCCUCCUCUCCUGCCAUUACCU
RNAcentral lists this long non-coding RNA (3485 nucleotides) under Callithrix jacchus (white-tufted-ear marmoset). RNAcentral's name for it is "lncRNA (ENSCJAG00000084602.1)". Lineage: Eukaryota; Metazoa; Chordata; Mammalia; Primates; Cebidae. The record is from RNAcentral.